GCCACUGUGGCGGAGUGGUCUAACGCGCCGGCCUUAAGUUGUCUAAAACGUAAAUCUUAAAUCCGGUUCUUAGGAGCGUGAGUUCGAACCUCACCGGUGGCA
Kwoniella sp. DSM 27419 is the source of this 102-nucleotide non-coding RNA. NCBI's taxonomy places the organism in Eukaryota, Fungi, Basidiomycota, Tremellomycetes, Tremellales, Cryptococcaceae. The record is from the annotation of a GenBank genome assembly.